Molecule: long non-coding RNA, 1015 nt
Organism: Pipistrellus kuhlii (Kuhl's pipistrelle)
Lineage: Eukaryota; Metazoa; Chordata; Mammalia; Chiroptera; Vespertilionidae
Exons: 2
Source: RefSeq, a predicted model, not a curated record
AUAUCCUUGGGUGAGGAUUUACAUAAGUAAAUAAAAAGGCCCUAUGAGAUUGACCUGUAGCAUUCCAGAUGCUGCAGUAGACAUGGGCAUCUGUACUGAGUGUGCCAGUUUGAAUAAUGGAUCUUAAGGUAAGACUUCUUGGGGAAUGAAGAAUAACCUGUAGUGCCAGCACCCUAGGACAUACACCAUGGAGCUAUUGUAUUAACCUGGCCUUGGGUAACUCCAACUUGUACCCUUUGGUGCACUCUCAUAGCCCCAUGGGGGGAGGGUCUUCCCUAAGACUUGCUUAUACAACCUACCAUAACUGGUAAAUGGCAAACUACUAUUCAAGUAAAUAACCCUAAGAAACUUAUUUGAGUAGGUACCUUAAUUACUUCCACCUGGCAGAUUCAGACUCUUCCUCUCACAGCUAGCAUUCUAGGCUAGGGGGUGUCACCAGUAAAAGUUAUGGUAUAGGAGACCAGAGAGACCACCUGAACAAGGAUAAACAGGACAGAGAAACAGUCUUUAAACUACCCACUGGUGCUGAUGUGCCUCUGUUGAUUCCUGCUAAACAUUUGUCUUAUUUUCUUUAGGUCAGUGCAGGCUGACAGCAUUGUGAGAUGAGUUGAAGAAGUGGAUCUCCGGUCCAAUGUUUUGGAUUGUUGGGUAUAUUGAAAGGUUCCCUGCUCUGCUACUGCUGGGCUAUUUUGGAACACAAAUCCAGUCAACGAUCCUAUGUCAACAUGGUUUGGAAACUUGUCUUGGGGCUGAUGAUCAGCUUUAUAUAUUCUGAUACUGGGUUUGCGAAGAUGUAAUGGGCAGAUUACAGAGAGUGGAGAAGAAAGGUACCCAUGUUGGGAUGGAGCCUGUGAAUUGAUGUGUGAAUGCAGCAGGUCCUCGGGUUACGUCGAAGAUCUGCUCCUAUGGCGCAACGUAACUCGAUUUUCGACUUAAGUCAGAACCCACCUACAUAAGCACCUACGUCACUCACAUGGAGCACAUACACAGCAGUAAUGAAGUGAAUUAGUAAAAA